UGGGGAAUAUUGCACAAUGGGCGAAAGCCUGAUGCAGCAACGCCGCGUGGGUGAUGAAGGUUUUCGGAUCGUAAAGCCCUGUCUUUUGGGACGAUAAUGACGGUACCAAAGGAGGAAGCCACGGCUAACUACGUG
Molecule: ribosomal RNA, 135 nt
Filed under: uncultured Clostridium sp.
Lineage: Bacteria; Bacillati; Bacillota; Clostridia; Eubacteriales; Clostridiaceae
Description: partial 16S ribosomal RNA
Rfam family: Bacterial small subunit ribosomal RNA
Source: RNAcentral